UACGGAGGGUGCGAGCGUUAAUCGGAAUUACUGGGCGUAAAGGGUGCGUAGGUGGUUUAUUAAGUUAUCUGUGAAAUUCCUGGGCUUAACCUGGGCGUGUCAGAUAAGACUGAUGGACUCGAGUAUGGGAGAGGGUAGUGGAAUUUCCGGUGUAGCGGUGAAAUGCGUAGAGAUCGGAAGGAACACCAGUGGCGAAGGCGGCUACCUGGCCUAAUACUGACACUGAGGCACGAAAGCGUGGGGAGCAAACAGG
RNAcentral lists this ribosomal RNA (253 nucleotides) under uncultured bacterium. Its description in RNAcentral is "partial 16S ribosomal RNA". It matches the Rfam family "Bacterial small subunit ribosomal RNA", at positions 524 to 776 of the family's 1533-position model. The record is from RNAcentral.